Long non-coding RNA from Aedes aegypti (yellow fever mosquito), 935 nucleotides. RefSeq lists it as uncharacterized. The transcript has 2 exons. The record is from RefSeq and is a predicted model, not a curated record. NCBI's taxonomy places the organism in Eukaryota, Metazoa, Arthropoda, Insecta, Diptera, Culicidae.
AACAGUGCAUGCUGAGCCCCAUCACCGCAAUCAGAUACGUCUUGAAGGAUAUCUCACUGUAGCUGAGGGUAUGAUCCCACCAGUACUGACGCGUGUAGCCACCGCCUUUCACCAGCGGAGGAAUCUACAGAAAUCAACGGGAGUAAUCCGAAUCAAUCACACAUUUUGGUCACAAACUUCAAAGGUACGAUAAUCACCGCCAACAGUGGGAAGAACAGUUUGUAGCUGCCGGGUAGCAAGCUGCACACAUUCACCGCCAGUGCCCUCCAACAGGAUGCGUACUGCGGGUGGCAAAGGUCACGGCAGGUUUUGCCUGCCGUCGCUUCGUAGAAGUACUUGCUGAGGUGAGCCAUGUGGUGUUAAUCGUCGCGCGAAUCCGAUGGAACUGAACAAACGAAUUCGCUUCUUUUUUGGGGGUUUCGCGUGACGACGUUGAAUUGCUGAUUUGCAUUCGUUUGGACGAUAGAAAUUUCGGAUAUGAUGAAGGAGUUUAGAACAAGCAUUAACUGAAGCGGGCUUUACGCCGUCAUUCCCGCUUAUAAACUAUCACAACCACAAAUAGUUAACAAUUUUGCAACAAUCUUGAGAUGAGACUCUCACCUGCUCAGCUGAAUCCCAUGGCGACCUUUCCCAGACAUUCGGCAGCUAUUUGUGCUCUGCAAUGGAAGUUGACGAUGAGAAAGGAUCUUACUCCAAAAUUUGAGCGCAGUUUCUGAAAUACUCACUGUGCACCGGAACAGAUAUCGGUGAAUUUCAUCGCAAACUUCGACAUGGCGUAGGGAUAGUAGGCCCGAGCGUACAUAUUGUAGUUCAUCAGGAACACCCACACGACCGAACUGAACGAGAUUUUGUUGAACUGCUGGAGCCACUCCACCUUGGAGUACUUCUCAACGAUAAAGUUCCACGCGUUCUGAAAAUAUUUCAUAGAAAAACCU